UACAGAGGUCUCAAGCGUUGUUCGGAUUCAUUGGGCGUAAAGGGUGCGUAGGUGGCGGGGUAAGUCAGGUGUGAAAUCUCGGAGCUCAACUCCGAAACUGCACUUGAUACUGCCUUGCUCGAGUACUGGAGAGGAGAUUGGAAUUUACGGUGUAGCAGUGAAAUGCGUAGAUAUCGUAAGGAAGACCAGUGGCGAAGGCGAAUCUCUGGGCAGUAACUGACGCUGAGGAGCGAAAGCGUGGGGAGCGAACAGG
This 253-nucleotide ribosomal RNA is filed under the name uncultured bacterium. Its description in RNAcentral is "partial 16S ribosomal RNA". It matches the Rfam family "Bacterial small subunit ribosomal RNA", at positions 524 to 776 of the family's 1533-position model. The record is from RNAcentral.